CCUGGCAAGACAUAGCCUUACAUAUUAAAAUGCAAUAUGUAAUAUGCGUGUAAUAUGUAAGGCUAUGUCUUGCCAG
Molecule: non-coding RNA, 76 nt
Organism: Pelobates cultripes (western spadefoot toad)
Lineage: Eukaryota; Metazoa; Chordata; Amphibia; Anura; Pelobatidae
Source: the annotation of a GenBank genome assembly